This 1503-nucleotide ribosomal RNA is filed under the name Ligilactobacillus animalis. RNAcentral describes it as "Lactobacillus animalis partial 16S rRNA". It matches the Rfam family "Bacterial small subunit ribosomal RNA". The record is from RNAcentral. Lineage: Bacteria; Bacillati; Bacillota; Bacilli; Lactobacillales; Lactobacillaceae.
CUGGCUCAGGAUGAACGCUGGCGGCGUGCCUAAUACAUGCAAGUCGAACGAAACUUCUUUAUCACCGAGUGCUUGCACUCACCGAUAAAGAGUUGAGUGGCGAACGGGUGAGUAACACGUGGGCAACCUGCCCAAAAGAGGGGGAUAACACUUGGAAACAGGUGCUAAUACCGCAUAAYCAUAGUUACCGCAUGGUAACUAUGUAAAAGGUGGCUAUGCUACCGCUUUUGGAUGGGCCCGCGGCGCAUUAGCUAGUUGGUGAGGUAAAGGCUUACCAAGGCAAUGAUGCGUAGCCGAACUGAGAGGUUGAUCGGCCACAUUGGGACUGAGACACGGCCCAAACUCCUACGGGAGGCAGCAGUAGGGAAUCUUCCACAAUGGGCGAAAGCCUGAUGGAGCAACGCCGCGUGGGUGAAGAAGGUCUUCGGAUCGUAAAACCCCUGUUGUUAGAGAAGAAAGUGCGUGAGAGUAACUGUUCACGUUUCGACGGUAUCUAACCAGAAAGCCACGGCUAACUACGUGCCAGCAGCCGCGGUAAUACGUAGGUGGCAAGCGUUAUCCGGAUUUAUUGGGCGUAAAGGGAACGCAGGCGGUCUUUUAAGUCUGAUGUGAAAGCCUUCGGCUUAACCGGAGUAGUGCAUUGGAAACUGGGAGACUUGAGUGCAGAAGAGGAGAGUGGAACUCCAUGUGUAGCGGUGAAAUGCGUAGAUAUAUGGAAGAACACCAGUGGCGAAAGCGGCUCUCUGGUCUGUAACUGACGCUGAGGUUCGAAAGCGUGGGUAGCAAACAGGAUUAGAUACCCUGGUAGUCCACGCCGUAAACGAUGAAUGCUAAGUGUUGGAGGGUUUCCGCCCUUCAGUGCUGCAGCUAACGCAAUAAGCAUUCCGCCUGGGGAGUACGACCGCAAGGUUGAAACUCAAAGGAAUUGACGGGGGCCCGCACAAGCGGUGGAGCAUGUGGUUUAAUUCGAAGCAACGCGAAGAACCUUACCAGGUCUUGACAUCUUCUGACAAUCCUAGAGAUAGGACUUUCCCUUCGGGGACAGAAUGACAGGUGGUGCAUGGUUGUCGUCAGCUCGUGUCGUGAGAUGUUGGGUUAAGUCCCGCAACGAGCGCAACCCUUAUUGUUAGUUGCCAGCAUUAAGUUGGGCACUCUAGCAAGACUGCCGGUGACAAACCGGAGGAAGGUGGGGAUGACGUCAAAUCAUCAUGCCCCUUAUGACCUGGGCUACACACGUGCUACAAUGGACGGUACAACGAGUCGCAAGACCGCGAGGUUUAGCAAAUCUCUUAAAGCCGUUCUCAGUUCGGAUUGUAGGCUGCAACUCGCCUACAUGAAGUCGGAAUCGCUAGUAAUCGCGGAUCAGCAUGCCGCGGUGAAUACGUUCCCGGGCCUUGUACACACCGCCCGUCACACCAUGAGAGUUUGUAACACCCAAAGCCGGUGGGGUAACCUUUUGGAGCCAGCCGUCUAAGGUGGGACAGAUGAUUGGGGUGAAGUCGU